GCGCUAGUAGCUCAAUGGAUAGAGCACUUGGCUACGAACCAAGAGGUUGUGGGUUCGACUCCUACCUAGCGCGCCA
Molecule: transfer RNA, 76 nt
Filed under: Mycoplasmataceae bacterium
Lineage: Bacteria; Bacillati; Mycoplasmatota; Mollicutes; Mycoplasmatales; Mycoplasmataceae
Description: tRNA-Arg
Rfam family: tRNA
About the family: Transfer RNA (tRNA) molecules are approximately 80 nucleotides in length.
Source: RNAcentral